CAGCAGCAGCCGCGGGAAUACGUAGGGUGCAAGCGUUAAUCGGAAUUACUGGGCGUAAAGCGUGCGCAGGCGGUUUGUUAAGACAGAUGUGAAAUCCCCGGGCUCAACCUGGGAACUGCAUUUGUGACUGGCAAGCUAGAGUCUGGCAGAGGGGGGUGGAAUUCCGCGUGUAGCAGUGAAAUGCGUAGAUAUGCGGAGGAACACCGAUGGCGAAGGCAGCCCCCUGGGCCAACACUGACGCUCAUGCACGAAAGCGUGGGGAGCAAACAGGAUUAGAGACCCCCGUAGUCCCUGUCUCUUAUAC
RNAcentral lists this ribosomal RNA (304 nucleotides) under uncultured bacterium. Its description in RNAcentral is "partial 16S ribosomal RNA". It matches the Rfam family "Bacterial small subunit ribosomal RNA", at positions 506 to 807 of the family's 1533-position model. The record is from RNAcentral.